Molecule: ribosomal RNA, 253 nt
Filed under: uncultured bacterium
Lineage: Bacteria
Description: partial 16S ribosomal RNA
Rfam family: Bacterial small subunit ribosomal RNA
Source: RNAcentral
UACGUAGGUGGCAAGCGUUGUCCGGAUUUAUUGGGCGUAAAGGGAGCGCAGGCGGUGACUUAAGUCUGAUGUGAAAGCCCACGGCUCAACCGUGGAAGGUCAUUGGAAACUGGGUCACUUGAAUGGAGCAGAGGAGAACGGAAUUCCAUGUGUAGCAGUGAAAUGCGUAGAUAUAUGGAGGAACACCAGUGGCGAAGGCGGUUCUCUGGGCUCACAUUGACGCUGAGGCUCGAAAGCGUGGGUAGCGAACAGG